Molecule: long non-coding RNA, 931 nt
Filed under: Gallus gallus (chicken)
Lineage: Eukaryota; Metazoa; Chordata; Aves; Galliformes; Phasianidae
Description: long non-coding RNA NONGGAT006846
Source: RNAcentral
CCAUCUUUAAUAUCAAAGAAUUCAGCUAUACAGCCAAAGUAGUUAUUGCUAGUCUCAGAUGAGCAGCGUGUCCUUCCUAACUACAGCCAGAUGGAACAUCCCACAUCAGCUUUUUAUCCAGGCUGCGGAGACUUUGAUCCAGGAGAGAAAGCCAGCAAGAUCUCCAUCUCAGCACCACUCCGAGCAGAACACUACACUUACUUCGCAUCAGUUCCCAACUGCAACACAACUGAGAGCUCUGCAAUCUUGAAGACUCGAUGAAGGUUUUAAUCAUCUAAUGAGAUUACCUCAUCUGUGUGUGGUUUCACAAUGCAGUCUCAACGGCAGCCCAUUAAGCCAGUCUCAUGACAUACAGUAUCAAUCAUGCCAGUCAGCUUACUCUGAUAACACUCCUAGAACUGGAUGACUGCUGUGUACAGAAACCACAACUGUGAGGAGUUUCUAUCGCACUGCAGCAAAAUGCACAUGAUAAAAAUUGAGCUAGGUUUUGCUGCUCAAGUACAUAACACAAAAUCGUAACAUGGAUGCCAUUUAUGUCCAAUAGGUUUGAGCUAUGGCCCAUUUUUCAAUUUUACAUAUAUUCUGUGUUCAAUCAUAGCAAAGCACAACGCUUCCUGUACAAAGAACAUGAAGUUCAGAUAUAAGCUCGGAACAUGUAAGUCGUUAUCAUCUUCUGAUGCUAAAUUUAUUAAGCAGUACCAGUAGCUAUGUUUUCCUCAAAUGCAGAAUUCCACAGUCAUCAUCAAAUGCAGUGUACAAUACAGCGGUCUCUUUUGUUUUUUAACUGUUACCAAUAAGAAAACAGUGCAGCAAUUCACACCACGCACUUAGGAGGCUGGCUGCUUCUGGCUUCACAAGUAAUGUAACACCUGAACAAAUAAAACUUGCUCUUUUUUCACAGAUGAAGCUAAUGAGGAAAAUCUAAACAUUA